Molecule: ribosomal RNA, 494 nt
Filed under: uncultured bacterium
Lineage: Bacteria
Description: partial 16S ribosomal RNA
Rfam family: Bacterial small subunit ribosomal RNA
Source: RNAcentral
GAUGAACGCUGGCGGCGUGCCUAACACAUGCAAGUCGAACGGAGUUAUUAUUAUGAAGUUUUCGGAUGGAUUAAUAAUAACUUAGUGGCGGACGGGUGAGUAACGCGUGGGUAACCUGCCUCAUACAGGGGGAUAACAGUUGGAAACGGCUGCUAAAACCGCAUAACAUUGCGAUGUCGCAUGACAAUGCAAUUAAAUAUUUAUAGGUAUGAGAUGGGCCCGCGUCUGAUUAGCUAGUUGGUGGGGUAAUGGCCUACCAAGGCGACGAUCAGUAGCCGGCUUGAGAGAGUGACCGGCCACAUUGGGACUGAGACACGGCCCAAACUCCUACGGGAGGCAGCAGUGGGGAAUAUUGCACAAUGGGGGAAACCCUGAUGCAGCGACGCCGCGUGAGUGAAGAAGUAUUUCGGUAUGUAAAGCUCUAUCAGCAGGGAAGAAAAUGACGGUACCUGACUAAGAAGCCCCGGCUAACUACGUGCCAGCAGCCGCCGCGG